Long non-coding RNA from Parasteatoda tepidariorum (common house spider), 1032 nucleotides. The record is from RefSeq and is a predicted model, not a curated record. NCBI's taxonomy places the organism in Eukaryota, Metazoa, Arthropoda, Arachnida, Araneae, Theridiidae.
UAGUAAAUAUUUGUUAUUCUCUACAGAGAUAAUGAUUCUAUUUUACAGAUUUUAUUUGCGACUUCUAAAGAACUGUAUGUGCAUAGCCUGUUCUUCCCAUAAGUGAUAAAACAUAAGCUAUCCUAUUGUGCCUAAACUUUUGUGCUUGGAAGUACGUCUUGUUCUGUUCCUUUCUAUUAUUGCCUGACUUAUUGAUCUCUUUGUAUCCAGUAUAUUUGUCUUCGAUUGCUUAGAAAUGGAAACUGAAGGAAGAACUGUUGCAAGAAUUCUGGCAUAUGGAAUAAGUCGCUUCUGCUUUGCUACCUUUAUGACAUUUAUUGGCUUUUUACUUGCGAAAUAUUGCUUUUUUCCUUUAAUACACUUCAUCAUAUUUCUGAUGAUAGCUGUAACUAUCUGGUACAUUUUUGACACAAAGGAAUGUGCACCAACUUUAGACCAAACAGAUAAUUUAGACAACGAAGAUGAAGACAUGGAAGAAGAUGGUCACCCUGGUACCGAACCAGUUUUUGUCAUUGGAACAAUGAUGACAAAUGAUCCUGAGAAUGGAACAGCUCCUGAUGUUAGGAUCCCGAUGACUAAUCAGGAUGCUUGAGAAAUAUUGUCUUCUGAUAAAUCAUCAUCUUCUGAACAUUGCUUAUCAGGGACCCAAAAAUAAAAAUAAAAAACACGCAAGAUUUUGUUCAGUAAAUUACAUUUGAAAGAACUUUCAUCAAAACAGCAGAAAGGAUAUAAUAAUAUGUCGUUUGACUUGUGAUCAAUGGUAUCUUUCCACUCUUCAAAAAGUAAAUGCUGAAGUAUACUUCAGCAGUUUCAAAUUAUUUGCUGGUAGCAUUGUUCUGUGAUGGUGAUUGUGAAGCCGAUAUGAAUUUGGGGUUAUUAUAUUAAUUAUGUAUUUUAAGGAUAGAACUUGAUGUUCUUUCGAAAUAAAAAAUAUGAAGGUGGUGGGAAAACAAAACAAAAAUUGUUCUAUCAACUGUUACCUUGCAUGUAACGAAAAAUAAAUAAAAAAUAAACAGAAUUGAUACAUUGAAA